CAAGUAGACUGAGUAGUCGCGAAGCGUGUUUACGCUUUCGAGGAAAGUCCGGGCUCCAUAGGGCAGAGUGCUGGUUAACAACCAGUCGGGGCGACCCGAAGGAAAGUGCCACAGAGAUAUACCGCAAGCGAUGCUUGCAAGGGUGAAAAGGUGAGGUAAGAGCUCACCAGCAACUAGGCGACUAGUUUGGCUAGGUAAACCCCACUCGGAGCAAGACCUAAUAGGGGAGAGUUAAGAGUUGCUCGCUCGUUCUCCCGGGUUGGUCGCUACGCGCACUUACGUGCGGAUGAGGUAUGCGGUAACGUAUGUCCUAGAUAGAUGACUACUACCGCGCAAGCGGGACAGGACCCGGCUUAUAGGUCUACUUGACAA
RNAcentral lists this RNase P RNA (372 nucleotides) under Peptococcaceae bacterium. Its description in RNAcentral is "RNase P RNA component class A". It matches the Rfam family "Bacterial RNase P class A". From Rfam's summary of the family: Ribonuclease P (RNase P) is a ubiquitous endoribonuclease, found in archaea, bacteria and eukarya as well as chloroplasts and mitochondria. Its best characterised activity is the generation of mature 5'-ends of tRNAs by cleaving the 5'-leader elements of precursor-tRNAs. Lineage: Bacteria; Bacillati; Bacillota; Clostridia; Eubacteriales; Peptococcaceae. The record is from RNAcentral.